This 21-nucleotide microRNA is filed under the name Medicago truncatula (barrel medic). RNAcentral's name for it is "mtr-miR319c-5p". Its record names the gene mtr-miR319c-5p. The record is from miRBase by way of RNAcentral. Lineage: Eukaryota; Viridiplantae; Streptophyta; Magnoliopsida; Fabales; Fabaceae.
GGAGUUCCUUGCAGCCCAAAG